UUAUUUUGUGGAGGCGUUGACUCAGAACGGGAUAGUUGGUCGCUUUCCCAAGAAUUUGGGAAGUGUUCUGAUGAGCCAGUAGCGAAACCGACCACAAAAAGG
RNAcentral lists this non-coding RNA (102 nucleotides) under Anaerolinea thermophila. RNAcentral's name for it is "c-di-GMP sequence". It matches the Rfam family "Cyclic di-GMP-II riboswitch aptamer". The record is from RNAcentral. RNAcentral also lists the same sequence under 1 other name. Lineage: Bacteria; Bacillati; Chloroflexota; Anaerolineae; Anaerolineales; Anaerolineaceae.